This 458-nucleotide ribosomal RNA is filed under the name uncultured bacterium. RNAcentral describes it as "partial 16S ribosomal RNA". It matches the Rfam family "Bacterial small subunit ribosomal RNA", at positions 338 to 795 of the family's 1533-position model. The record is from RNAcentral.
CCUACGGGAGGCAGCAGUGAGGAAUAUUGGUCAAUGGGCGAGAGCCUGAACCAGCCAAGUCGCGUGAGGGAGUACUGCCCUAUGGGUUGUAAACCUCUUUUGUCGGGGAGCAAAAGCCGGACGUGUCCGGCUGUGAGAGUACCCGAAGAAAAAGCAUCGGCUAACUCCGUGCCAGCAGCCGCGGUAAUACGGAGGAUGCGAGCGUUAUCCGGAUUUAUUGGGUUUAAAGGGUGCGCAGGCGGAUUUUUAAGUUAGCGGGAAAAUCGUGGGGCUAAACCCCAUCCAGCAGUUGAAACUGGGGAUCUAGAGUGUGCGAGAGGUAUGCGGAAUGCGUGGUGUAGCGGUGAAAUGCAUAGAUAUCACGCAGAACCCCGAUUGCGAAGGCAGCAUACCGGUGCACAACUGACGCUGAGGCACGAAAGCGUGGGUAUCGAACAGGAUUAGAUACCCUGGUAGUC